Molecule: small nuclear RNA, 111 nt
Organism: Mustela putorius furo (domestic ferret)
Lineage: Eukaryota; Metazoa; Chordata; Mammalia; Carnivora; Mustelidae
Source: Ensembl
GUGCUUGUUUUGGCAGCACAGACUCUAAAACUGGAAUGAAAUAGAGAAGAGUAGGUAGCAUGGCCUCUGUGCAAUGAUGACACACAAAUUUGUGAAAUGUUCCAUGUUUUU